GACCCGGAGGCGGAACCGGACGGCGGGGCGUGGACCUCGGCUCUCGGAGCGCAGAGCGCAGGGGGCGCCUGCAGAGAUUGGGGUGCGCCCGCGCCCCCGCCAUGCGGCCCCCGCGCCCUUCCGUCGCGCUGCUCGCCGUCCUGGGCGCGCUUUGGGCGGCGGCGCUCGUGGCCGCCGAGGCCCCGCACCUGGUGCGCGUGGACGCGGCCCGCGCGCUGCGGCCCUUGCGGCCCUUCUGGAGGAGCACCGGCUUCUGUCCCCCACUGCCGCACGGCCAGGCCGACCGCUAUGACCUCAGCUGGGAUCAGCAGCUCAACCUGGCCUACGUGGGCGCGGUCCCUCACGGAGGCAUUGAGCAGGUUCGGACCCACUGGCUGCUGGACCUCAUCACGGCCAGGGGGCUGGUCCAGCAGGGCCUGCGCUACAACUUCACCCACCUGGAUCGGUACCUGGACCUUCUCAGGGAGAACCAGCUCGUCCCAGGCUUCGAGCUGAUGGGCAGCCCCUCUGGACGCUUCACUGACUUCGAGGACAAGCAGCAGGUGUUCGAGUGGAGGAACCUGGUCUCUCUCCUCGCCAGGAGAUACAUCGGUAGGUAUGGCCUCGAGCAUGUUUCCAAGUGGAAUUUCGAGACGUGGAACGAGCCAGACCACCACGACUUUGACAACGUGUCCAUGACCUUGCAAGGCUUCUUGAACUACUACGACGCCUGCUCCGAGGGUCUGAGAGCAGCCAGCCCGGCUCUGCGCCUGGGUGGCCCUGGAGACGCCUUCCACGCGCUGCCCCGCUCGCCGCUCUGCUGGGGCCUCCUGGGGCACUGUAACAACGGCAGCAACUUCUUCACCGGGGAGGUGGGCGUGCGGCUGGACUACAUCGCCCUGCACAAGAAGGGCGCGGGCAGCUCCAUCUCCAUCCUAGAGCAGGAGGCGGCAGUCGUACAGCAGAUACAGCGGCUCUUCCCCAAGUUCGCUGACACCCCCAUUUACAACGACGAGGCCGACCCGCUGGUGGGCUGGUCCCUGCCGCAGCCCUGGAGGGCCGACGUGACCUACGCGGCCAUGGUCGUGAAGGUCGUCGCACAGCACCAGAACCUGCUGCUGGCGAAUGCCAGCUCGGCCGUCCGCUACGCGCUCCUGAGCAACGACAACGCCUUCCUGAGCUACCACCCGCACCAGUUCUCCCAGCGCACGCUCACCGCGCGCUUCCAGGUCAACGACACAAGGCCGCCGCACGUGCAGCUGCUGCGCAAGCCGGUGCUCACCGCCAUGGCGCUGCUGGCCCUGCUGGACGGCGAGCAGCUCUGGGCCGAGGUGUCGCGGGGCGGCACGGUGCUGGACAGCAACCACACGGUGGGCGUCCUGGCCAGCGCUCACCGCCCCACUGGCCCGGCCGACGCCUGGCGCGCCACGGUGCUGGUCUACGGAAGCGAUGACACCCGCGCCCACGCCAACCGCACGGUCCCCUUGAUUCUCAGCCUGCACGGGGUGCCCCCGGGCCCCGAGGUCGUCUUUGUCGAGCUUUACGUGGACAACUGGCUCUGCAACCCCUACGGAGAGUGGCGGCGCCUGGGCAUGCCGGUCUUCCCCUCUGCAGCGCAGUUCCGGCGCAUGCGCGCGGCCGAGGACCCUGCGGCCGUGAAACCGCGCUCCUUCCCCAGCAGCGGCCGCCUGACGCUGCGCCCUCCGCUCGCUCUGCCCUCGCUGCUGCUGGUGCACGUGUGCGCGCGCCCCGAGGAGCCGCCGGGCCAGGUGACUCGGCUCCGUGCUCUGCCCCUGACCCGCGGGCAGUUGCUUUUGGUCUGGUCGGAUGAGCGUGUGGGCUCCAAGUGCGUGCCUGUGGACCUAUGAGAUCCAGUUCUGCCCGGAGGGUGGGGUGUUCGCUCCCAUCAGCAGGAAGCCUUCGACUUUUAACCUGUUCGUGUUCAGCCCAGACACAGCUGUGGUCUCCGGCUCCUAUCGGGUUUGUGCUGUGGACUACUGGGCCCGGCCAGGCCCCUUCUCCAGCCCCGUGCGGUACCUGGAGGCCUCUGCCUCUUGACGGCCUCUGCUGCCCAGAGACUGGGCCUGUGCUGACCGUGAGCCUGGGCGGCCAGGAGCCAGGCUGGGCCCAACUGCCAACAGCCUGCCAGCCAGUCCUCCCUUCUGUUGGUCUCCUCCCGCCCCUCACUCACCCCUUAAAGUGCCUUAUGACUCACAGUCUCGGGGACAGCCUUCACGGUGGGCACUGGGGACGCGCGGCCUGGCUGGAGCACGGCCAUCCCCGCUGGCUCACCCAAGGCCUCUGCCUGCCCGUGGGAGCCGGGAUUCCGCUCGGCUGGGAUGCGGGCAAGUGUUGAGUUGGAGUGCCCGCCCUGCCUGUCUGGGAUCUCCGGUGUCACCACUGGCUGUAGUGGGCCCACCGUGUCCCCUGGAGGGCGGGACCUGAGGCUCUGCCCAGAGAGGGUGGCCUGGGGCAAGACAGAGCCCAGAGGAGUCCCUCUUCCUGAGGCCCAGCCAGACUGCCCCCUGCACCCCCCGGGCGGGGGUUUCCAGGCUGCCUGGGCCAGACUGUCCAGCGGAGAGAGAGGCUGACAGCGUCCACUCCAUGGCCAUCUGGGCUGCUUAUCUGGCCCCAAGAGGAAACAGAUGGCAUGUCCAGAUGAGGACACCCUAGGGGCUGUGGACGGACGUGAGGGCAGAAGGCAGGGAAGCCACAGGGGUGGUGCGGAAGCCUGGGGCUCCUCCCCACCUCACCUGCAUCCCAGGACAGAUGGAGCCCGCACAGCAAGGUGUGGAGAGGCCCCCGGUGAGGAGAGGAGCACCCCCAGCAGAAGUGGGCCCGGCCCCUGCCCCCGCCGUCCGCUGCUGUCCCAGAGCCACCUCCGCUCGGGGGGCGGGGGGCAGUGCAGGCCUGGCUGAGCAGAUGGAAGGCAAGGCCUGGUCGUCCCCCGACCCACCCUGAACCCGCUGCCCCGUCCACAUGGAGCACACGGGUAUCCGGGCCCACCAGUUGCCUUAUCCUGGGCAGGAGUGUUAGUUUGGCCAUUCUCCAUGUGAACCCCAAGAUCAGCGCCCAUCCCCCUGCCUCAGGGCUUGGUGCCCAGGGCCCCACUGUUACCAGUCGCCUUUUUAAAGGCCCCCACUCCAAACAGCACUCACAUUCCAAGGUCCCGGGGGUAAGGACGUCAGUGUUUGAACUGGGGGAGGCCGUUUACCUGCAGCAAGCCCUGACCCUGUUCUCUGUGGUGGGAACACCUCACCCCAGCAUUAAAGCAGCCUCUUCUCCA
Bubalus bubalis (water buffalo) is the source of this 3265-nucleotide RNA transcript. It is a transcript of the gene named alpha-L-iduronidase, with no coding region annotated. Lineage: Eukaryota; Metazoa; Chordata; Mammalia; Artiodactyla; Bovidae. The transcript has 14 exons. The record is from RefSeq and is a predicted model, not a curated record.